UUGGCUUAGAAGCAGCCAUCCUUGAAAGAGUGCGUAAUAGCUCACUGGUCAAGUGGUUCUGCGCCGACAAUGUAGCGGGGCUCAAGCGUACCGCCGAAGCUGUGGCAGCAACACGUGUAGCUGGCGCCAGGAACUGGAUUGUUGGUGUGUUGUUGGGUAGGGGAGCGUCCUGCAUGAGGUGAAGCCUGGAGGUGACUUCUGGUGGAUUGUGUGGGAGUGAGAAUGCAGGCAUGAGUAACGAAUCUGCGGUGAGAAUCCGCAGCGCCGAUUGACUAAGGGUUCCAGGGCUAGGUUUAUCCGCCCUGGGUUAGUCGGGUCCUAAGGCGAGGCCGACAGGCGUAGUCGAUGGACAACCAGUUGAUAUUCUGGUACCGCGUUGUGACCGCCCAUGCUGAAGUCAUUGUGCUAACCAAUUUGCUCACGCCUCCACGUGACCUUCGGGUCGCGUGGUGUGUGUGGGUCUUGGGGUCCCGGUGAUUGUAGGCAAGCGUGUUAACAGGGGUGACGCAGACAGGUAGCUGCAGUGCGCCGAUGGUUGUGCGUAUUUAAGGUUGUGGCCCGUCUUCCAGGUAAAUCCGGGGGACAUUGUGGGUGAGAACUGAUGAGGGACACACGCGUGUGUGGACUUGUGGUGAUCCUAAGCUGCCGAGAAAAGCCUCGACGUGAGGGCAUGACGCGCCCGUACCCUAAACCGACUCAGGUGGUCAGGUAGAGUAUACCGAGGCGUUCGAGUGAAUCGUGGUUAAGGAACUCGGCAAAAUUCCUCCGUAACUUCGGGAUAAGGAGGACCCCGUGACUUCCCAAUGCUUUGCGUGUUGGUGGGGUUGUGGGGUCGCAGAGAAUAGGGAGAAGCGACUGUUUAUCAAAAACACAGGUGCGUGCGAAGCCGUAAGGCGAUGUAUACGCACUGACGCCUGCCCGGUGCUGGAAGGUUAAGAGGAACCGUCAACAUCCCUUGUGGGUGUGAAGCGGUGAAUUUAAGCCCCAGUAAACGGCGGUGGUAACUAUAACCAUCCUAAGGUAGCGAAAUUCCUUGUCGGGUAAGUUCCGACCUGCACGAAUGGCGUAACGACUUCUCCGCUGUCUCGACCGUGAACUCGGCGAAAUUGCAGUACGAGUAAAGAUGCUCGUUUCGCGCAGAAGGACGGAAAGACCCCGGGACCUUUACUAUAGCUUGGUAUUGGUGUUCGCUUGGACUUGUGUAGGAUAGGUGGGAGACUGUGAAGCUGCCGCGCCAGCGGUGGUGGAGUCGUCGUUGAAAUACCAUUCUGGUUCAAGCGGUCACCUCAACCUUGGCCCGUGAUCCGGGUUGGGGACAGUGCCUGGUGGGUAGUUUAACUGGGGCGGUUGCCUCCUAAAAUGUAACGGAGGCGCUCAAAGGUUCCCUCAGCCUGGUUGGUAAUCAGGUGGCGAGUGCAAGUGUACAAGGGAGCUUGACUGUGAGACCGACGGGUCGAGCAGGUGCGAAAGCAGGAACUAGUGAUCCGGCCAUGGCACGUGGGUGCGUGGUCGCUCAACGGAUAAAAGGUACCCCGGGGAUAACAGGCUGAUCUUGCCCAAGAGUCCAUAUCGACGGCAUGGUUUGGCACCUCGAUGUCGGCUCGUCGCAUCCUGGGGCUGGAGUCGGUCCCAAGGGUUGGGCUGUUCGCCCAUUAAAGCGGUACGCGAGCUGGGUUCAGAACGUCGUGAGACAGUUCGGUCCCUAUCCUCUGUGCGCGCAGGAAAUUUGAGAAGGGCCGUCCCUAGUACGAGAGGACCGGGAUGGACGAACCUCUGGUGUGCCAGUUGUACCGCCAGGUGCAUGGCUGGUUAGCUACGUUCGGAAGGGAUAACCGCUGAAAGCAUCUAAGCGGGAAGCCUGCUUCAAGAUGAG
RNAcentral lists this ribosomal RNA (1873 nucleotides) under human metagenome. RNAcentral describes it as "bacterial LSU rRNA". It matches the Rfam family "Bacterial large subunit ribosomal RNA", at positions 1101 to 2808 of the family's 2925-position model. The record is from RNAcentral.